GGUUAAGCGACUAAGCGUACACGGUGGAUGCCCUGGCAGUCAGAGGCGAUGAAGGACGUGCUAAUCUGCGAUAAGCGUCGGUAAGGUGAUAUGAACCGUUAUAACCGGCGAUUUCCGAAUGGGGAAACCCAGUGUGUUUCGACACACUAUCAUUAACUGAAUCCAUAGGUUAAUGAGGCGAACCGGGGGAACUGAAACAUCUAAGUACCCCGAGGAAAAGAAAUCAACCGAGAUUCCCCCAGUAGCGGCGAGCGAACGGGGAGCAGCCCAGAGCCUGAAUCAGUGUGUGUGUUAGUGGAAGCGUCUGGAAAGGCGCGCGAUACAGGGUGACAGCCCCGUACACAAAAAUGCACAUGCUGUAAGCUCGAUGAGUAGGGCGGGACACGUGGUAUCCUGUCUGAAUAUGGGGGGACCAUCCUCCAAGGCUAAAUACUCCUGACUGACCGAUAGUGAACCAGUACCGUGAGGGAAAGGCGAAAAGAACCCCGGCGAGGGGAGUGAAAAAGAACCUGAAACCGUGUACGUACAAGCAGUGGGAGCACGCUUAGGCGUGUGACUGCGUACCUUUUGUAUAAUGGGUCAGCGACUUAUAUUCUGUAGCAAGGUUAACCGAAUAGGGGAGCCGAAGGGAAACCGAGUCUUAACUGGGCGUUAAGUUGCAGGGUAUAGACCCGAAACCCGGUGAUCUAGCCAUGGGCAGGUUGAAGGUUGGGUAACACUAACUGGAGGACCGAACCGACUAAUGUUGAAAAAUUAGCGGAUGACUUGUGGCUGGGGGUGAAAGGCCAAUCAAACCGGGAGAUAGCUGGUUCUCCCCGAAAGCUAUUUAGGUAGCGCCUCGUGAAUUCAUCUCCGGGGGUAGAGCACUGUUUCGGCAAGGGGGUCAUCCCGACUUACCAACCCGAUGCAAACUGCGAAUACCGGAGAAUGUUAUCACGGGAGACACACGGCGGGUGCUAACGUCCGUCGUGAAGAGGGAAACAACCCAGACCGCCAGCUAAGGUCCCAAAGUCAUGGUUAAGUGGGAAACGAUGUGGGAAGGCCCAGACAGCCAGGAUGUUGGCUUAGAAGCAGCCAUCAUUUAAAGAAAGCGUAAUAGCUCACUGGUCGAGUCGGCCUGCGCGGAAGAUGUAACGGGGCUAAACCAUGCACCGAAGCUGCGGCAGCGACACUAUGUGUUGUUGGGUAGGGGAGCGUUCUGUAAGCCUGUGAAGGUGUACUGUGAGGUAUGCUGGAGGUAUCAGAAGUGCGAAUGCUGACAUAAGUAACGAUAAAGCGGGUGAAAAGCCCGCUCGCCGGAAGACCAAGGGUUCCUGUCCAACGUUAAUCGGGGCAGGGUGAGUCGACCCCUAAGGCGAGGCCGAAAGGCGUAGUCGAUGGGAAACAGGUUAAUAUUCCUGUACUUGGUGUUACUGCGAAGGGGGGACGGAGAAGGCUAUGUUGGCCGGGCGACGGUUGUCCCGGUUUAAGCGUGUAGGCUGGUUUUCCAGGCAAAUCCGGAAAACUAAGGCUGAGGCGUGAUGACGAGGCACUACGGUGCUGAAGCAACAAAUGCCCUGCUUCCAGGAAAAGCCUCUAAGCAUCAGGUAACAUCAAAUCGUACCCCAAACCGACACAGGUGGUCAGGUAGAGAAUACCAAGGCGCUUGAGAGAACUCGGGUGAAGGAACUAGGCAAAAUGGUGCCGUAACUUCGGGAGAAGGCACGCUGAUAUGUAGGUGAAGUCCCUCGCGGAUGGAGCUGAAAUCAGUCGAAGAUACCAGCUGGCUGCAACUGUUUAUUAAAAACACAGCACUGUGCAAACACGAAAGUGGACGUAUACGGUGUGACGCCUGCCCGGUGCCGGAAGGUUAAUUGAUGGGGUUAGCGCAAGCGAAGCUCUUGAUCGAAGCCCCGGUAAACGGCGGCCGUAACUAUAACGGUCCUAAGGUAGCGAAAUUCCUUGUCGGGUAAGUUCCGACCUGCACGAAUGGCGUAAUGAUGGCCAGGCUGUCUCCACCCGAGACUCAGUGAAAUUGAACUCGCUGUGAAGAUGCAGUGUACCCGCGGCAAGACGGAAAGACCCCGUGAACCUUUACUAUAGCUUGACACUGAACAUUGAGCCUUGAUG
Molecule: ribosomal RNA, 2109 nt
Filed under: Escherichia coli
Lineage: Bacteria; Pseudomonadati; Pseudomonadota; Gammaproteobacteria; Enterobacterales; Enterobacteriaceae
Description: partial 23S ribosomal RNA
Rfam family: Bacterial large subunit ribosomal RNA
Source: RNAcentral